Molecule: ribosomal RNA, 434 nt
Filed under: uncultured Oscillospiraceae bacterium
Lineage: Bacteria; Bacillati; Bacillota; Clostridia; Eubacteriales; Oscillospiraceae
Description: bacterial SSU rRNA
Rfam family: Bacterial small subunit ribosomal RNA
Source: RNAcentral
ACGGAAGGCAGCAGUGGGGGAUAUUGCGCAAUGGGGGCAACCCUGACGCAGCAACGCCGCGUGAAGGAUGAAGGUUUUCGGAUUGUAAACUUCUUUUAAGUGGGACGACAAUGACGGUACCACUUGAAUAAGCUCCGGCUAACUACGUGCCAGCAGCCGCGGUAAUACGUAGGGAGCAAGCGUUAUCCGGAUUUACUGGGUGUAAAGGGCGUGUAGGCGGGACAUCAAGUCAGAUGUGAAAGCACGAGGCUCAACUUCGUGUCUGCAUUUGAAACUGACGUUCUUGAGUGUUGGAGAGGCUAACGGAACUCCUAGUGUAGCGGUGAAAUGCGUAGAUAUUAGGAAGAACACCAGUGGCGAAGGCGGUUAGCUGGACAAUAACUGACGCUGAGGCGCGAAAGUGUGGGGAGCAAACAGGAUUAGAUACCCUGGUA